This 483-nucleotide ribosomal RNA is filed under the name uncultured bacterium. Its description in RNAcentral is "partial 16S ribosomal RNA". It matches the Rfam family "Bacterial small subunit ribosomal RNA", at positions 30 to 506 of the family's 1533-position model. The record is from RNAcentral.
AUUGAACGCUGGCGGCAGGCCUAACACAUGCAAGUCGAGCGGAUGAAGGGAGCUUGCUCCUGGAUUCAGCGGCGGACGGGUGAGUAAUGCCUAGGAAUCUGCCUGGUAGUGGGGGAUAACGUCCGGAAACGGGCGCUAAUACCGCAUACGUCCUGAGGGAGAAAGUGGGGGAUCUUCGGACCUCACGCUAUCAGAUGAGCCUAGGUCGGAUUAGCUAGUUGGUGGGGUAAAGGCCUACCAAGGCGACGAUCCGUAACUGGUCUGAGAGGAUGAUCAGUCACACUGGAACUGAGACACGGUCCAGACUCCUACGGGAGGCAGCAGGGGGGAAUAUUGGACAAUGGGCGAAAGCCUGAUCCAGCCAUGCCGCGUGUGUGAAGAAGGUCUUCGGAUUGUAAAGCACUUUAAGUUGGGAGGAAGGGCAGUAAGUUAAUACCUUGCUGUUUUGACGUUACCAACAGAAUAAGCACCGGCUAACUUCGU